RNAcentral lists this ribosomal RNA (819 nucleotides) under Triticum aestivum (bread wheat). Its description in RNAcentral is "partial small subunit ribosomal RNA". The record is from RNAcentral. Lineage: Eukaryota; Viridiplantae; Streptophyta; Magnoliopsida; Poales; Poaceae.
AUGUCUGGAGAACCACUUGAUACAAGCCAGGGCCCUAAAGGGACGAAAUGGAUUUUUGUUAUGAGCACAGCAAAGAAACUGUAUGCUGGGAAGAAAGAGAGAGGUGUAUUCCAGCACUCCAGCUUUUUAGCAGGAGGUGCUACCAUAGCUGCUGGACGGUUUAUUGCAGAAAAUGGAGUCAUCAAGUCCAUCUGGGCCUAUAGUGGACAUUACAAACCGAGUGCGGAAAACCUUAGCAACUUCCUGAGCUUUCUAGAAGAGAAUGGAGUUGAUCUGAAAGAAGUUGAGGUGUGCUCAUUCACCAAGGAAGACUACUAUGAAGAUCCAGUGCCCAAUACCAAACAGAACCCUGCUGCUGCUAUCAUAUCAUCCAAUCCUUCACAAUUGAUUCUUCCUUCCAACAAGGCAUCUGGGGCAUCUUCACAGACUGAAGCUGACGAAGGCAAUAAUAUCCGUGCAGAGCAAGCAAGAGCAACCUACCAAAGAACCUUAUCAGGUGGCCUGCAAAGCCCCAGAGAUGCCGGCGUCUCACAGGAGGCAAUUCUUGAGAGGGUGAAUUCCAAGAGCAAGUCAAAAUCCUACCAGCUCGGCCACAGGCUGUCCCUGAAAUGGAGCACUGGGAAUGGUCCAAGAAUUGGUUGUGUGAAGGACUAUCCAAUGGAGCUCAGAAUACAAGCGCUGGAGAUGGUACAACAGUCUACAACUCUCACCAAGGGCAUCGACUCCUCCGGCCACAUGGAGGGCACCGGAAUGCCUCUUGCCCACCUUGCAAAUGUCGCCCCUCGUGCCAGUGCAGACCUCCCUGCCCCAGCCAAGUAA